CCUCAGUCCCUCGUAUAGAAUGCCACGUAAACGUCCUGUUUUGUCAUCCCCCGUCCUCAGUCCCUCGUAUAGAAUGCCACGUAAACGUCCUGUUUUGUCAUCCCCUGUCCUCAGUCCCUCAUGAGGGACGAUGCAAGAGGAUCUUUUUCUCUCAUCCCCUGACGUCAGUCCCUCACCAUCGACGCACUGUGAAGAUCCCGUUUUGUCACCCCGCGUUUUCAGUCCUUCACCAUCAACACACCGUGAAAAUCCAACUUUGUCAUCCCCUGACUUCCGUUUCCGGAUGGAGACUGAAAAGGACAUAGAAGAGGAACCGACACCUUCAACAUCUGGUGGAACUACAGCAAGAGCGAGUUCCAGACACGUGUGGUUUAGACCUCGCUACGUUUCAAGUGACUCUGAUUAGAUUGGGAUCCGUAAAAACUGAGGACCUAUGUGGGAAGUCACAUUAGGACAUAUCAUCAUUUCUCUGUUUUUUUUGUUUUGUUUUAUUAAAGCCAAUGGAUUUCUAGCAAGCCUGUGGAAGCCUUAGGUAGCGCCUUGCACCGGGGCUUUUCUUUAUCCCGCUGCUAGAUGUAGCAUUUUGGAUGUUGAGGAUUCUGGCAGGACUCGGGAAGCCUUAGGUAGCGCCUUGCACCGGAGUUUUCUUCGUCUUUGUGUCUUCCUCUCAUCUUCCCCAUGUUUCAGGGUGAAAUAGCGGUUCUUCCCCACGCGGUGCUCUCCGAUAUAGUAAAUUAUUCUAUUCUGUUCCUCCGCUAAUCCACUCUCCAAGGUUUUAAUCUUUCAGGUUUUAGCUGCUCAUCGCUGGAUCCUUUCGUCGUCGUCCAUGUGGUUCCUGUCCUUCUGGACCCCUUGUUUUUCACACUGCUUGUUGGAUCUCCUCCGCCUGUAAUCCUCCACCUUCAGCACCACCAGUCAGGUGGAGGAAGAUAAGAGAACCCAGUUGACAAAAAAACAGAGCUUUGUGUUGAUGGAAGGAGGAUCAGGAAUAGAGCAGAGGACCUGCUGAUCUACUGGUUCUAGUAGAUUUUAUAAAUGGUUGGAUCUCCUCCGCCUGGAAUCCUCCGCCUUCAGCACCACCAGUCAGGUGGAGGAAGAUAAGAGAACCCAGUUGAAAUAAAAAGUAAGAACAUUUCUAUGUACACAGCAUAACUAAUCAUUUCAAAUAUAGUUGCAGAGAGCUGAGCUGAAAGUUAGAAGCUGUCUGCUGUUCAUGCAUAUUUUCCUCCUUAACUUUAUCUUCUCUCUUUAUUUCAUUUCUCUGUGAACUCAUGUGAUGACUGGAGUUGACCAACAAUUAAAUCAGAAGAAGACCUGCUCCACCUGCUGAUCUACUGGUUGUAACAGCUUGUGGGAAAGCAUCACUGGACCAAUCAGGCGAGAGAAGACAGAGAGGACUGAGGACUAAAACAAAAAUACUCUGCCUGCCAAAAAAGGCAGACGAUCCAGUGGCCCCAGGUUUACACACCAUCUGCUGGUUUGAGGCAGACCGACCGCUGGGGAGAUGGACCUCACCUGGCACCAUUACUCUGGAUGUAACAGGUAGCUCGACUCUCCUGUCAAUCAAAACAUCAAUGACUCGAGAAGCGGACAGCGAGGUUUCUGGUGCCUGGCUGGAGACAAGAUUCUGAUUAUUCAAGAGCCAAAACAAAACGUCAGAAUAAAUAGUUAGAAGGCAGAUUUGUUUUCUAUUUGUCGUUGUUUUCAUUAUUAAUGCUCCAUAACACAAAAUUCAUCAGUGCUGUAACUCUUGAGUUGAAUAAAAUGUUCUUCUUUCAAUCAGUUAUUUCUGGAGUCUUUUUAUUUGAACCAUAAUCAUUUUUGGAAACGUUACAUAUUAAAGGAACGCCCACAUUUUUAAUAGAACUUCAUAACUGAUCAAAGCACAAACUGGAGAACAGGUUUAAAAGAAAUGUUUUUUUAGUGUGAAUUCAUUUGUAGUUACAUAAAUACACAAUUCACAUCUUAAAAACAAACACAAGCCAGUCACACUGAAGAAGUUUCCUGAUGUUGACCUUCGACCCUUAGCUUCAACUGAUUCACUGAAAGGUUGGGUAGAAAUGUUACCCAGAGAACGCUCUUUUUCCUCAUGGACUCAUAACCAAUGAAACAAACUGGAAGAACUGGAAGCUGAACCAGUUGGUGGAUCAAGUCGGUCCACUCCAAGUAGCCAACACCGAUGGCCUUUGAAGCUUCACAGCUCUGACUCUGACUUAUGAAAACCUUUCCUCCAGUUUGAGUCGAGACUGUGGAAGGUUGUUUUUUUUUUACGGCCUGCUGCUUCUUCAGUUGCUGUGAACCAGAGUGACAAACAGGAGGAGUGAGCAGAGAGAGACGGCGCCAGUCAGGACGGCUUUCACCAGCAACACCGUCCAGCUGCCCGGCAUGAAGACAUGAGACGGACAUUACAGGCAAAAUAAUCUAUUACAAUAAGAGUUUGGCUGAAAUAUUUUUGCAACGACUGAGAAAUAUGAAAAAAAAACACCCGAAAAAAACAAAACAUAAAAUGAUUAAGUCUGGUUCUUUGUUGACCGCUACACAGUGGUCAACAAAGAACCAAGACAGAAGCUACAAACCUUUAAGUCACCAUGCCGAGUUAUGAAACAAACAGAAAAGCCAUAAAGCCAUGCAGUACAUGAAUCUUUUUGAUUUUAGUCUUUUUUUUCCCAGUUUUCCAAAACGAUAAACCUAACAGUUAACAUUUGAUGAUGAUGAUGUAUUUGUUUCCCAACCAUCUGAAACGCUGACAUUUUCAUACGUCCACUUCACAUUUUAAGUGCUGCUUUGCUUUUAUCUGUUACAUAAAAUUCCAGUAAAAU
Molecule: long non-coding RNA, 2819 nt
Organism: Xiphophorus couchianus (Monterrey platyfish)
Lineage: Eukaryota; Metazoa; Chordata; Actinopteri; Cyprinodontiformes; Poeciliidae
Exons: 7
Source: RefSeq, a predicted model, not a curated record